RNAcentral lists this transfer RNA (66 nucleotides) under Saxidomus purpurata. Its description in RNAcentral is "Saxidomus purpuratus tRNA-Cys". The record is from RNAcentral. Lineage: Eukaryota; Metazoa; Mollusca; Bivalvia; Venerida; Veneridae.
AGGCCUAUUUAGUUUAGUUAAAACGUUAAGUUGCAAUCUUAAAGAAAACAUUUUGUUUUGGGCUUU